AGGAGAGCAAGAAAAUGAAGCUCAAGAGUUUCCUGCUCCGGUAUUAUCCGCCAGGAAUUAUGUUGGAAUAUGAAAAACAUGGAGAAUUAAAGACGAAGUCAAUAGAUUUGCUUGAUCUUGGUCCCAGUACUGAUAUCAGUGCUUUAGUGGAAGAAAUCCAGAAGGCAGAACCUCUAAUCACAGCUUCACGAACAGAGCAAGUCAAACUUUUGAUACAGAGGUUACAAGAGAAACUUGGCCAGCACAGCAAUCAUACAUUCUAUCUUUUUAAGGUAAUGGAUUUACA
RNAcentral lists this long non-coding RNA (286 nucleotides) under Rhinopithecus roxellana (golden snub-nosed monkey). Its description in RNAcentral is "lncRNA (ENSRROG00000046009.1)". The record is from RNAcentral. Lineage: Eukaryota; Metazoa; Chordata; Mammalia; Primates; Cercopithecidae.